RNAcentral lists this ribosomal RNA (138 nucleotides) under uncultured bacterium. RNAcentral's name for it is "partial 16S ribosomal RNA". It matches the Rfam family "Bacterial small subunit ribosomal RNA", at positions 355 to 509 of the family's 1533-position model. The record is from RNAcentral.
UGGGGAAUAUUGCACAAUGGGGGAAACCCGUGAUGCAGCGACGCCGCGUGAGUGAGGAAGUAUUUCGGUAUGUAAAGCUCUAUCAGCAGGGAAGAAAAUGACGGUACCUGACUAAGAAGCCCCGGCUAACUACGUGCC